Molecule: ribosomal RNA, 1342 nt
Filed under: uncultured bacterium
Lineage: Bacteria
Description: bacterial SSU rRNA
Rfam family: Bacterial small subunit ribosomal RNA
Source: RNAcentral
GACGAACGCUGGCGGCGCGCCUAACACAUGCAAGUCGAACGGAAUCAAGAGGAGCUUGCUUUUCUCGAUUUAGUGGCGAACGGGUGAGUAACGCGUGAGUAACCUGCCCUGGAGUGGGGGACAACAGUUGGAAACGACUGCUAAUACCGCAUAAGCCCACGGUACCGCAUGGCACUGAGGGAAAAGGAUUUAUUCGCUCUAGGAUGGACUCGCGUCCAAUUAGCUAGUUGGUGAGGUAACGGCCCACCAAGGCGACGAUUGGUAGCCGGACUGAGAGGUUGAACGGCCACAUUGGGACUGAGACACGGCCCAGACUCCUACGGGAGGCAGCAGUGGGGGAUAUUGCACAAUGGGGGAAACCCUGAUGCAGCGACGCCGCGUGGAGGGAGAAGGUUUUCGGAUUGUAAACUCCUGUCGUUAGGGACGAUAAUGACGGUACCUAACAAGAAAGCACCGGCUAACUACGUGCCAGCAGCCGCGGUAAAACGUAGGGUGCAAGCGUUGUCCGGAAUUACUGGGUGUAAAGGGAGCGCAGGCGGACCGGCAAGUUGGAAGUGAAAUCCAUGGGCUCAACCCGUGAAUUGCUUUCAAAACUGCUGGCCUUGAGUAGUGCAGAGGUAGGUGGAAUUCCCGGUGUAGCGGUGGAAUGCGUAGAUAUCGGGAGGAACACCAGUGGCGAAGGCGACCUACUGGGCACCAACUGACGCUGAGGCUCGAAAGCAUGGGUAGCAAACAGGAUUAGAUACCCUGGUAGUCCAUGCCGUAAACGAUGGAUUAUUAGGGGUGGAAGGAAUGGCCCCUUCAGUGCCGCAAUUAACACAAUAAGUAAUCCACCUGGGGAGUACGACCGCAAGGUUGAAACUCAAAGGAAUUGACGGGGGCCCGCACAAGCAGUGGAGUAUGUGGUUUAAUUCGAAGCAACGCGAAGAACCUUACCAGGUCUUGACAUCCGAUGCAUAGUGCAGAGAUGCAUGAAGUCCUUCGGGACAUCGAGACAGGUGGUGCAUGGUUGUCGUCAGCUCGUGUCGUGAGAUGUUGGGUUAAGUCCCGCAACGAGCGCAACCCUUAUUGCCAGUUACUACGCAAGAGGACUCUGGCGAGACUGCCGUUGACAAAACGGAGGAAGGUGGGGAUGACGUCAAAUCAUCAUGCCCUUUAUGACGUGGGCUACACACGUACUACAAUGGCGUUUAACAAAGAGAAGCAAGACCGCGAGGUGGAGCAAAACUCAGAAACAACGUCUCAGUUCAGAUUGCAGGCUGCAACUCGCCUGCAUGAAGUCGGAAUUGCUAGUAAUCGCGGAUCAGCAUGCCGCGGUGAAUACGUUCCCGGGCCUUGUACA